AUUGAACGCUGGCGGCAGGCCUAACACAUGCAAGUCGAACGGUAGCACAGAGAGCUUGCUCUCGGGUGACGAGUGGCGGACGGGUGAGUAACGUCUGGGAAACUGCCCGAUGGAGGGGGAUAACUACUGGAAACGGUAGCUAAUACCGCAUAACGUCGCAAGACCAAAGUGGGGGACCUUCGGGCCUCACACCAUCGGAUGUGCCCAGAUGGGAUUAGCUAGUAGGUGGGGUAAUGGCUCACCUAGGCGACGAUCCCUAGCUGGUCUGAUAGGAUGACCGUGCACACUGGAACUGAGACACGGUCCAGACUCCUACGGGAGGCAGCAGUGGGGAAUAUUGCACAAUGGGCGCAAGCCUGAUGCAGCCAUGCCGCGUGUAUGAAGAAGGCCUUCGGGUUGUAAAGUACUUUCAGCGGGGAGGAAGGCGGUGAAGUUAAUAGCUUCACCGAUUGACGUUACCCGCAGAAGAAGCACCGGCUAACUCCGUGCCAGCCGCCGCGGUAA
RNAcentral lists this ribosomal RNA (504 nucleotides) under uncultured bacterium. RNAcentral's name for it is "partial 16S ribosomal RNA". It matches the Rfam family "Bacterial small subunit ribosomal RNA", at positions 30 to 523 of the family's 1533-position model. The record is from RNAcentral.